RNAcentral lists this ribosomal RNA (422 nucleotides) under uncultured bacterium. RNAcentral describes it as "partial 16S ribosomal RNA". It matches the Rfam family "Bacterial small subunit ribosomal RNA", at positions 360 to 774 of the family's 1533-position model. The record is from RNAcentral.
AAUUUUGGACAAUGGGGGCAACCCUGAUCCAGCCAUCCCGCGUGUGCGAUGAAGGCCUUCGGGUUGUAAAGCACUUUUGGCAGGGAAGCAAAGGCGCGGGUUAAUACCCUUUGCCGCUGACGGUACUUGCACAAUAAGCCCCGGUGUAUUACCUCCCAUCAGCCGCGGUAAUACGUAGGGUGCAAGCGUUAAUCGGAAUUACUGGGCGUAAAGCGUGCGUCGGCGGUUUGGCAAGAAAGGUGUGAAAUCCCAGGGCUUAACCUUGGAACUGCACUUUUAACUGCCAGGCUAGAGUAUGUCAGAGGGGGGUAGAAUUCCGCGUGUAGCAGUGAAAUGCGUAGAGAUGCGGAGGAAUACCGAUGGCGAAGGCAGCCCCCUGGGAUAAUACUGACGCUCAGGCACGAAAGCGUGGGGAGCAAACG